CCUACGGGUGGCAGCAGUAGGGAAUCUUUCACAAUGGGCGCAAGCCUGAUGGAGCAACGCCGCGUGCAGGAUGAAGGCCUUCGGGUUGUAAACUGCUUUUAUAAGCGAGAAAUAUGAUGGUAACUUAUGAAUAAGGAUCGGCUAACUACGUGCCAGCAGCCGCGGUCAUACGUAGGAUCCGAGCAUGAUACGGAGUGACUGGGAGUAAAGAGUUGCGUAGGUGGCAUAAUAAGUAGCUAGUUAACUCUGGUGGCUCAACCAUUGAGACUAUUAUCUAAACUGUUAAGCUCGAGACCGUUAGGGGUAACUGGAAUGUCUAGUGUAGGAGUGAAAUCCGUAGAUAUUAGAAGGAACACCAAUAGCGUAGGCAGGUUGCUGGGACGGUUCUGACACUAAGGCACGAAAGCGUAGGGAGCAAACGGGAUUAGAUACCCGUGUAGUC
This 442-nucleotide ribosomal RNA is filed under the name uncultured bacterium. RNAcentral describes it as "partial 16S ribosomal RNA". It matches the Rfam family "Bacterial small subunit ribosomal RNA", at positions 338 to 795 of the family's 1533-position model. The record is from RNAcentral.